UUAAAUUGAAGAGUUUGAUCAUGGCUCAGAUUGAACGCUGGCGGCAGGCCUAACACAUGCAAGUCGAACGGUAACAGGAAGCAGCUUGCUGCUUUGCUGACGAGUGGCGGACGGGUGAGUAAUGUCUGGGAAACUGCCUGAUGGAGGGGGAUAACUACUGGAAACGGUAGCUAAUACCGCAUAACGUCGCAAGACCAAAGAGGGGGACCUUCGGGCCUCUUGCCAUCGGAUGUGCCCAGAU
Molecule: ribosomal RNA, 241 nt
Filed under: Escherichia coli
Lineage: Bacteria; Pseudomonadati; Pseudomonadota; Gammaproteobacteria; Enterobacterales; Enterobacteriaceae
Description: partial 16S ribosomal RNA
Rfam family: Bacterial small subunit ribosomal RNA
Source: RNAcentral